GCUCUGUCAGCGCAGAGUCCCAUGAGGGGCUCGAACUCAUGAACCAUGAGAUUAUGACCUGAGCCGAGAUCAAGAGUCAGACGCUCGACUGACUGAGCCACCUAGGCACCCCCCUCUUUUUUCUAUGUAAUUGCGUGGUUAGCGGUGGGGACAUCACCGCCACAUAGCUGGGGUGCUAAGUUACAGGAGUGGUGGGAAUGGUACAGUCAGUCUUCUCUCAGUUACUCAGAUAAUUUUAGGUGUUGCUCAGAGUAGCUAAUGAAAAAGUGUGGAGAUUGCAAAAUCAGUUCAAGCAAAAAUCUGAGCAAACUUCAGAGUAAAAGCAAGAACUACUACAUCCCGUAUCUGUUCCAUUGUUUCAGCUACUGACCCAACAGCCCUAGCAGGAAAUCUGGGGGGCCUUCCUGCCUUUCUUCCCUUCUCUCUGCUUUUUCUUCUUGGUUCUCCUCCUCUGCCUCCAACCCUUGAACACCUGUUUUCAGCCUCACUAUUGCCUUGGGCCUGGGUGGGGAGGGGGCCAUGUCAAGGGUGGGUCCCUUCCCUGCCUCUGUGCAGACCCCGGUUCUUGAGUUCGUCCCAGAAAGAAUGCAGAGCCAAACUCUCAAGUAAGCAAGGCUUUAUUAGAAAGUUCAAAAGCAGAAGUACACUCUCCGGAUGGGACAGCAGGCAGGCUCAGAGAUGGCAAAUGCACCAGGGCUUGGGGGUGACUUCUCUUUUUAUGCUUUUGCCUCCAUAGCUAGGGCAGUCUCUGAGAUUGCUUCCAGUCAACUAAGGGACCCUCCUACUGGUUGGGAGGGGGGGAACUUUUGGCCCUAUAGGGUCCUUGUCCAAACUGUCAUGGCAGCCUUCCCUUCCAAAGGGGAGUCGAAACUACAAAGUAAAUGUAUUAUAAUGAAGCUAUAGGUUGCUUUAGGGCAGUGGUUAUAGGGAGCACAUGUGUGCUCCCUGGGGCUUUUCCUAGCUGUUUGUGUUCUGGAUUUUUAUUUAUUUAUAUUCGUUUGUUUGUUUGUUUGUUUGAUUAAUGGUCAGAAAAUCCUGUUCCCUGCUAAUAACUAGCUAACUGCCUGUUCUAUCAGAUAGGGAAUAAGAUUGUGUGAAAUUAGAAUUUUGGUAGGGAAAGGGGGCUGGCAUGGUCUGGCAUGUGUAUUCUUAAAAAGCACCCCCGGGGAUUCUGAUUCCCCUCCCCACCACCACCACAGUUAAGAACCUGAAGGUAUAAUACAAAUUCUGAAGAUCAAAGGAAAUACAAGAUCUUUCACAGCAGGAACAGAUAUUCUAAACCCCAGAUGCGUCAUUCAGGCAAAAUAAAGGACAAAAAGGCACCAGGAAGGAGAUGUGAGAGAACAUGAAAUAAAACAGGACAAGCCAGAGACCCAGAUUUGAGAUAUUCAAUACCGAUCUUUGGCCACCCCUGCACCCCCAGCCUGCCUCUGGGCAAUAGGACUCUGCCCAGUUCUGACUGUAUGUCCUUCUCUAAUGGGGAUGCCAGUGUCAUUAAUUCUGUGUCUUCCUAGACUGCAGACUGCCAGAGGGCGGAAUUACAAAUCUUUUACUUUUUACCUAUCUGGUGCCUGGCAGAGGGCAGACACUAACUAAACAUAUGCUGCUGAAUUCAGUGAGUGAAUGUGUGUUUCUAAUCUGCACCUGGAUAUCUGUAUCAAGAUGUUCCAAAAGCGCCUGAAAUUCAACAUGACCCCAAACUGAUCUUUUUAUUUGGAUUGUGCUUACUCGUGUGCCUCUACUUCCGUAUUGGUUGGUGGAAUGGAGUCGAGCAGUCAGAACCCUGAUGUCUUCUGGUGUGCCUACAACUUGAGUCGUCAGUAGCCACUCGCUUUUUCCUUCUCAAACUUCCUGUGUCCUGAGACAUUAUUCUCCCCUGGUUUUCUUUCUUUCUGGCUGCUCUUCCUCGGCCGAUACGGUUCCAUAGGUCCAGGCCCUCGGUACCUAUCCGAUUUUAUAAGGUCCCCCGGUGACCUCAUCCAUGUGCACACUUCUGGUUCCAUCCAUGUCCCAGUAGCCCUCUGAUCUCCACCUCCAGCCCUGAUCUCUGCAAAUGUAGACCCACCUACCUCCUGGACUCUCCACUUGGCCAAUAUCUCAAAUUGAACAUAUCCCAAAAGGAAUUCGUCUUCCUUCACCAUCCGCCAGUUCAGUGAAUGGGAGCAAUGUUUUCCUUAUUUCACACCUCAAUCUUUUUUACUCCCCAUAUCCAACCAAUUCCCCAAUCCCAUGUUUGCCUCCAAAAUGUCUCCUGGAUCCACUGAAAUUCUCCUUCCUCCCUGACCUGAUCCAAGCUGUCUUCAUUUGUUCCUGGACUCUCUGGGAAGUCUCUGAAUUAGUUUCCCCAUAAUCUUUGUCCUGCUGCAAUGUAUUCCUUACUCUAAAAAUCCAGAGCAAUUAAAAAGAAUAACUCACAAAUCUGAUUGGGUCACUUCCCUCACAAACUUUUCAAUGUCUUGCCUUAAAUCAUGGACUAAACGUAGGAUUUCACUGUAUCGAUCCAGACUUGCACAUAAAUGAUAUUUAUCUGUGAUAAAUGCGAUGGUGAUGGGGGAACAUGCAAAAUGGUCUGCAUAGAGAGGAAGGAGUGAAUCACGCAACUAGGUGGGAAAUGAUAGGUUAACAGUGAGUCCCGGCACUCUGCAUAGGUGGAGAGGUGUCUCUGGGCAAGUGCUUGGGGCAGAAAGUGGGACAGAUUGUAUGCCUUGAGUUUUCAGUGGGGCCAAAACAUCAUGGAGGCCCGUGGAGUUGGCCAAGCAAUCCUGGAGGUCAGAGAGGAGGAGACAGGGCACGGCAGGAGACCGGUGCCAUAUGGAAAGUCCACUGUUGGUUGGAAAGAGGACUUUUGAGGAACAGGAAUGUCUCGGUGAGAUUUUUAGCCAUUAGGUGACAUGUUAUAUGCCUCCACCCACUCCCCCACCCCACCCCCAACCUCUGCCAGCUCCUGCUGCCCUGAAGCCCUUCAGUGAGGUCUACUAUUUAGAAAUGGUGGGUUGUUGUCUUUGUUGUUGUUUUAAAUGAAAAUGGCGACGGGCUUAAAUUUCCUGUCUGGAUUGUUGCAGUGUGAAACAGAGCCUGCAGCAGGGAAGCAAAGAUGAGAAACCACAGAUCUUUGAAAGUACAAACUCACAGGCUUUGGGGAAAGGCUUUGGGCUUCGCAGGAAAUAGAAUUAAGGGUUUGAACCAGUAUCGGUUUGAACCUACGUUUUGAGUGGCAUCCCCCUCCAACCACCUGGGUUACACUAGGAUUCUCCUAGGCUGGGAGGGAUCCGGCGCCAUCAGAGAGGAGGUGACACUUGAGCACAGCCUUCUUUUUUUUAUUAAAAAUUUUUUUUCAACGUUUUUAUUUAUUUUUGGGACAGAGAGAGACAGAGCAUGAACGGGGGAGGGGCAGAGAGAGAGGGAGACACAGAAUCGGAAGCAGGCUCCAGGCUCCGAGCCAUCAGCCCAGAGCCUGACGCGGGGCUCGAACUCACAGACCGCGAGAUCGUGACCUGGCUGAAGUCGGAUGCUUAACCGACUGCGCCACCCAGGCGCCCCGAGCACAGCCUUCUUAAAAAAUAGAUCUAUCAUUUCAGCAUUAGCCAAGAUGUUUAUUUCCCCCUGCAAUCAAAGACAGAGUGGAGGCCAGCAGAGCAGAAUCCUAACUCCUUCGAGUCAAGAAGGACUGACUUAUUAUUCUUUUGUCAUCAGACAGUUCAACAAUCAACGGGCACCAAGCUGACAUUUGGCCGAGUGACAUCAGCAGAGCUGUUGAACCUCAGAUAGUCAGCAUUUCAAUAGCCCGUGGUCACUAGGAAGAAUUGCUACUGGGCACAGCAAAAGCAAAAACAGUGUCAUUCGAAGACAAAAAAGAACCUCAACUCUGCCAGACUGAGGAGAACAAACCCAUUCAUCACCAGGAUGGUCCUACAAAGACCCAAAUUACAAAUGGGCUGGAAAUGCUCAUUCACAGUCUGUUCCCGGUAGAGCAUUCACGACACAUGGUCUACAUUUAUCAGGGCAAAGAAUGCUUGUCCAGCCUUCCCCUUUUAAAGACUGGCCCGUCCUCAAAGACGGAAAUCUUUUUCUGACUUCUGAGUGCGUUUGUCAUGAAAUGAAUAAAACAGAAGGGAAGAAUAAACCAGGGAAGACAGGCUUGAAAGUGCCAAGUUAUUGUCAUUACCAGAAAACAGGGGGGGCGUGUUGAAGACGGAAGUGCAACAAAAAAUCCUACCCCGACUGACUGCAAAUCACUCUUUUGGCUUCCAUUAAGUAAUGGCCAUAUUGCUCAAUGAAUGAGGACAGCAAUUACGUGCCUUCUCAUCCUGUCAUCCUAACACCUCAUGGCUGUGGCACACCCUGGCUCUGGGCCAGCAUCACUUUUUCAUUUGAUCACACAGCACGUGGAGAAGAAGGUGGCUCUCGCGGUCCUCAGGCCACAAGGCUCUCAGGUCGGUCUCGCAGACCUUCCUGAGCAAGCACAGACUGAGAACUUGGCAAACUGGAUGGGGAAGUGCCAAGGGCAUAUUCUCCAAAUUGCUCUGCUCAGAGCAGAGUACAGCCUCUCCUGGACUCACGCGAGAUCUUAAGAGAUGGCAGAUGUACGGAUGUUUGGUGCCCUUUUCCUGUGCAAGUAGACUUCCUGGAGGUCCUUCGGUUGCUGGGCUUGUGAACGGCUGAGCCUGCCUGGCUGGAGGGCUUUGGGGGCUAUAAACCGGAGGGACGCAGAACAGGAUAGAGGAGAGGCUGUUACACCUGCCUCACCGUGCCACGUGGCUCUUACCUCUACUAGCAGAGAUUUAACUUGGGUCCGCUUCAGAGAGCCACAAGGACACUUGAUUGGAAAUCCCCACACCUCAAGGCUGCCUCCUGGGUUGUUUCUGGGCAAAAAUACCCUGACGUCCUUUAGAAGCUCAGUUGAGAUGGCUGGCCAGGAAGUAGACAUUCCCUCCCUGGGCUGGGAGUUGGGGGGAGAGCAAGGAAGGCAAGACUGACCGAAAGCUUUUCUCUGAAGGGUUGGAGGGACACUCAUCCCAGGCAAACCAAUAGAUUGGGGCUCUCAGGAUGACCUCCCCACCUCUGCCCUGCUUUCAGCUGCCCUUCAAGCCCUGGGUCAUGUCUUGAGAGUUAGCACUGUCCCUGACAGGGCAGGGAUGGGGACUACCUGGAAGGGGAAUUUGAGUCAUGAGAAGUGUACUGGGUGUUCUAGUUCGUGGGUGGUCUCCAAACCUUUUUGGCUACAUAUGCCAUGAGUAAAAACUGUUUGAUGAUGCGUGCUCAAAAGAUGUAGUUUCAUUGAUAAAUUACUUACAUGUACUGUCAUCUAUCAUGUAUUUAAUAUUGGUAAACUUGUUUCCAGAUAAAAAAUAAGUAUAAAUA
Long non-coding RNA from Felis catus (domestic cat), 5361 nucleotides. RefSeq lists it as uncharacterized. NCBI's taxonomy places the organism in Eukaryota, Metazoa, Chordata, Mammalia, Carnivora, Felidae. The transcript is spliced from 2 exons. The record is from RefSeq and is a predicted model, not a curated record.